Molecule: ribosomal RNA, 433 nt
Filed under: Escherichia coli
Lineage: Bacteria; Pseudomonadati; Pseudomonadota; Gammaproteobacteria; Enterobacterales; Enterobacteriaceae
Also listed under: 1 other name
Description: partial 16S ribosomal RNA
Rfam family: Bacterial small subunit ribosomal RNA
Source: RNAcentral
AAAUUGAAGAGUUUGAUCAUGGCUCAGAUUGAACGCUGGCGGCAGGCCUAACACAUGCAAGUCGAACGGUAACAGGAAGCAGCUUGCUGUUUCGCUGACGAGUGGCGGACGGGUGAGUAAUGUCUGGGAAACUGCCUGAUGGAGGGGGAUAACUACUGGAAACGGUAGCUAAUACCGCAUAACGUCGCAAGACCAAAGAGGGGGACCUUCGGGCCUCUUGCCAUCGGAUGUGCCCAGAUGGGAUUAGCUAGUAGGUGGGGUAACGGCUCACCUAGGCGACGAUCCCUAGCUGGUCUGAGAGGAUGACCAGCCACACUGGAACUGAGACACGGUCCAGACUCCUACGGGAGGCAGCAGUGGGGAAUAUUGCACAAUGGGCGCAAGCCUGAUGCAGCCAUGCCGCGUGUAUGAAGAAGGCCUUCGGGUUGUAAAG